RNAcentral lists this ribosomal RNA (398 nucleotides) under uncultured bacterium. Its description in RNAcentral is "partial 16S ribosomal RNA". It matches the Rfam family "Bacterial small subunit ribosomal RNA", at positions 523 to 918 of the family's 1533-position model. The record is from RNAcentral.
AUACGUAGGGUGCGAGCGUUGUCCGGAAUUACUGGGCGUAAAGAGCUCGUAGGCGGUUUGUCGCGUCGUCUGUGAAAUUCCGGGGCUUAACUCCGGGCGUGCAGGCGAUACGGGCAUAACUUGAGUACUGUAGGGGAGACUGGAAUUCCUGGUGUAGCGGUGAACUGCGCAGAUAUCAGGAGGAACACCGGUGGCGAAGGCGGGUCUCUGGGCAGUAACUGACGCUGAGGAGCGAAAGCAUGGGUAGCGAACAGGAUUAGAUACCCUGGUAGUCCAUGCCGUAAACGGUGGGCGCUAGGUGUAGGGGUCUUCCACGACUUCUGUGCCGUAGCUAACGCAUUAAGCGCCCCGCCUGGGGAGUACGGCCGCAAGGCUAAAACUCAAAUGAAUUGACGGGG